GAUGAACGCUGGCGGCGUGCCUAAUACAUGCAAGUCGAGCGAACGGACGAGAAGCUUGCUUCUCUGAUGUUAGCGGCGGACGGGUGAGUAACACGUGGAUAACCUACCUAUAAGAGUGGGAUAACUUCGGGACACCGGAGCUAAUACCGGAUAAUAUUUUGAACCGCAUGGUUCAAAAGUGAAAGACGGUCUUGCUGUCACUUAUAGAUGGAUCCGCGCUGCAUUAGCUAGUUGGUAAGGUAACGGCUUACCAAGGCAACGAUGCAUAGCCGACCUGAGAGGGUGGUCGGCCACACUGGAACUGAGACACGGUCAAGACUCCUACGGGAGGCAGCAGUAGGGAAUCUUCCGCAAUGGGCGAAAGCCUGACGGAGCAACGCCGCGUGAGUGAUGAAGGUCUUCGGAUCGUAAAACUCUGUUAUUAGGGAAGAACAUAUGUGUAAGUAACUGUACACAUCUUGACGGUACCUAAUCAGAAAGCCACGGCUAACUACGUG
This 497-nucleotide ribosomal RNA is filed under the name uncultured bacterium. RNAcentral's name for it is "partial 16S ribosomal RNA". It matches the Rfam family "Bacterial small subunit ribosomal RNA", at positions 28 to 507 of the family's 1533-position model. The record is from RNAcentral.